This 767-nucleotide long non-coding RNA is filed under the name Homo sapiens (human). Its description in RNAcentral is "HSALNT0383041". The record is from RNAcentral. Lineage: Eukaryota; Metazoa; Chordata; Mammalia; Primates; Hominidae.
UGGGCUCCAGCCCUGAUGCAGAGGUACAAAGCUCGUCUGGGCAGAUUGUUAUGCAAAUCAAAAGAGGAAGCAGAGCUAGGGGAGCCGAGGAGCUCCUGCUGGGCUCUGCCAGGGAAGAAGCCGCAGUAGGAGCCCCUACGUAGGCCCUGCAAGAGGCCUGGCGUUCAGGAAAGGGCCCGCUGACCAUCCAGUGCAGGGAAAGGAGUCCAGCUCUGGCCUCUGCCCCUCAGCUCCACCUCCUGCAUUCCUAGGAGUUCUCCAGAGGAUCUGAUGGGAGCUCAGAACCGGUCCCAACAGCUCCCUCCACCCUUCAUGAACGGGGGCUGGAAAAUGUGGUCUGCUCUGAUAAGGAUUUGCGUCAGGCUACUGGCUACUCAGCAGCCGAGAAGAGCAAGCCUCCAGGCCUCUGCACGCGUGCCUUCUGCCCGGUGAGCCUCUCACUAUCGUCCUUCUAAAAGACACUUCAAAAAGAGGCAAAAUCAUGCCUUCCAUACAUAUAUUAAAAAAAGAAUAUGUGUCAAAUAUUUUAUUCUACUCCUAAACCAAUUUAAGGAAACCAGGCAGAUGUUACAACUGGUUCAAAUGAAAUCCUAAGAACAGACACAUUUAAUAAUCAGGAAUAUGGAAAAGAACAUGCAAAUGGGAGCUGGGCACAGCGGCUCAUGCCUGUAAUUCCAGCACUUUGGGAGGCCGAGGUGGGUGGAUCACCUGAGGUCAGGAGUUCGAGACCAGCCUGGCCAACAUGGUAAAACCCCGUCUCCACCAAA